RNAcentral lists this ribosomal RNA (334 nucleotides) under uncultured bacterium. RNAcentral's name for it is "bacterial SSU rRNA". It matches the Rfam family "Bacterial small subunit ribosomal RNA", at positions 28 to 372 of the family's 1533-position model. The record is from RNAcentral.
GACGAACGCUGGCGGCGUGCUUAACACAUGCAAGUCACGGGGGGUCGCAAGACCAACCGGCGAACGGGUGCGUAACACGUGAGCAACCUACCGAUUUGAGGGGGAUAGCUGGCCUAACGGCCAGGUAAUACCGCAUACGCUUGUAAAGCCUCCUGGCUUAACAAAGGAAACCUCCGGGGCAGAUCGAGGGGCUCGCGGCCUAUCAGCUAGUUGGUGAGGUCAUAGCUCACCAAGGCGACGACGGGUAGCUGGUCUGAGAGGAUGGCCAGCCACAUUGGGACUGAGAAACGGCCCAGACUCCUACGGGAGGCAGCAGUGGGGAAUCUUGCGCAAU